CGUCCUUUUGGGGGAGUGGCUCAAACUUUUCUCUCAGAGGCGGAAGUCAUGGCCGGUCCUCCUGUUGUUAUAUGGAAGCAAGAAGUGCAGCGUCUGUUGCGUUACAGAGAGCUGGUCCCUCGUCUGGAGGACGCUUUGGGGAAAUUCUCCAGACGAGACAGCGCAGAGGUGAUCCAGCCUGUGCGCUGCACGCUUCCCCUGCAGAAACACCACGGCUUCCUAGGAUCAAUGCCGACGUACAUGGAGAAUGAUGGAGUUCUGUGCACAAAGCUCGUGUGUUUCUACCAGAGGGAGGCUGGUUCAACUCUGCCAGCCGUACAAGCAACAGUGAUGCUGCUGGACCCAGAGUAUGGGAAUGUAAAGGCUGUCAUUGAUGGAGACGAAAUCACAGGAAUGAGGACAGCUGCGGUCUCGGCCAUCUCUGCUAAGCUGCUGAUGUGCCCUGAAGCAGAGGUUUUGGCCAUUUUGGGGACUGGCAAACAGGCCUUGACUCAUUACAAUGUCUUCACAGAAAUGUUUCCAUUUAAAGAGGUGCGUGUGUGGAGCCGCACGAGACAGGGAGUGGAGAGGUUUUGCCGCUCUGUCAGUGGUCCGGUGACGGCAUGCGUCUCAGUGGAGGAGGCGGUGAGGGGAGCAGACGCCAUAGUGACGGUAACCAGCAGCACAGAGCCAGUGCUCUUUGGUCGCUGGGUCAAACCAGGAGCCCACGUGGCCGCGGUGGGGGCUUGCAGGCCAGACUGCCGGGAGAUGGACGAUGUGUUGAUGAAGGAGGCGGUGGUGUACAGUGACAGCAGGGAGGGAGCAAUGACAGAGUCCGGUGACGUCAUCCUCUCUGGGGCUGAGGUGUUUGCUGAGCUUGGAGAUGUUAUUAAUGGGACAAAACCUGCACACAGAGAGAAGACAACAGUCUUCAAAUCCCUAGGAAUGGGAGUUGAAGAUGCAGUGUCUGCUAAGCUGAUAUUUGACCAAUGGAAAGCCAAAGGCAGCCUACCAUGAGGUGGCCAUGUGUUUCAACCCUGACCUCUUUGUUACACAUUCAUGGCCCACAAGCUAAUCAAGAUCAAGAUGACAGCUGAGGUCCAGACUAAAAUUGAGGACGGCGUCAGCCAAUGGCGUCGAGCAUAUGAACUCAGAGAUCUUAACCACCCCAUGUGGGCAAAUAACAAUUUGCAUUUGUUUUUAUUACUAAACCAUAUAGCUUUCCUACCUGUAGACAGACGGGUAACAAAUAAACACUACAUUACUGUAAUAAGACAGAAUUGACUAAGGCAGCUGGAUUGGUCUUAAUCAAAAAGUGAACUGAAUCAAAUUUGUGAACUCAUUCAGCAGACUCUACAAAGCGCUACCUUUUAAUUUAUACUUUGAAGCUUUCUAAAUGGUUGUUUUCCACAGCAAUGCUCCUAUUUUUAUUUGACCUUUAAAAUAAAAAGUCUGAUUUGUUGCACUGAGGAUUUAACUCAGACUUGUAUUCAAGUGUGUAAUGUCCCGACAGUAACCUGUUAAUAUAAACAUGUCUUUAACAGCCCUGACUAAAUAUAACAAAUGUUUUCUUAGUUCACCAGUUUCUUUCACAUGUUGCACACCUGUUGUGAUCAAGUUUGAUUUAAUAAAAGCUUUAAAAAAUAAAUUUAAAUCUAUUGGUUGUCUGUAUUUUUGUAGCUUUUCAUAAAAUAUUUGGUUUGAGUGUUUUGCUUCAAGAGAAAAUUGUGUAAAUAGCAUAUCGUGAACUAUUAAAAGAUGCGACUCAAACUACAAUACAACUUUUUUCAACAUGCUAUACUAUGACUUUAUGAUUUAUUUUUUUCCGACACGCCAUACUAUGACUUAAUGACCUUUUUCAAUA
Anarrhichthys ocellatus (wolf-eel) is the source of this 1843-nucleotide RNA transcript. It is a transcript of the gene named crystallin, mu, with no coding region annotated. The transcript has 9 exons. NCBI's taxonomy places the organism in Eukaryota, Metazoa, Chordata, Actinopteri, Perciformes, Anarhichadidae. The record is from RefSeq and is a predicted model, not a curated record.